CUACGUGCCAGCAGCCGCGGUAAUACGUAGGUCCCGAGCGUUGUCCGGAUUUAUUGGGCGUAAAGCGAGCGCAGGCGGUUUGAUAAGUCUGAAGUUAAAGGCUGUGGCUCAACCAUAGUUCGCUUUGGAAACUGUCAAACUUGAGUGCAGAAGGGGAGAGUGGAAUUCCAUGUGUAGCGGUGAAAUGCGUAGAUAUAUGGAGGAACACCGGUGGCGAAAGCGGCUCUCUGGUCUGUAACUGACGCUGAGGCUCGAAAGCGUGGGGAGCGAACAGGAUUAGAUACCCUGGUAGUCCACGCCGUAAACGCUGAGUGCUAGGUGUUGGAUCCUUUCCGGGAUUCAGUGCCGCAGCUAACGCAUUAAGCACUCCGCCUGGGGAGUACGACCGCAAGGUUGAAACUCAAAGGAAUUGACGGGGGCCCGCACAAGCGGUGGAGCAUGUGGUUUAAUUCGAAGCAACGCGAAGAACCUUACCAGGUCUUGACACCCCGAUGCUAUUUCUAGAGAUAGAAAGUUA
This 517-nucleotide ribosomal RNA is filed under the name uncultured bacterium. Its description in RNAcentral is "bacterial SSU rRNA". It matches the Rfam family "Bacterial small subunit ribosomal RNA", at positions 501 to 1016 of the family's 1533-position model. The record is from RNAcentral.